AUUGAACGCUGGCGGCAUGCCUUACACAUGCAAGUCGAACGGCAGCACGGGAGCAAUCCUGGUGGCGAGUGGCGAACGGGUGAGUAAUAUAUCGGAACGUGCCCAGUCGUGGGGAUAACGUAGAGAAAUUUACGCUAAUACCGCAUACGAUCUAAGGAUGAAAGCGGGGGACCGUAAGGCCUCGCGCGAUUGGAGCGGCUGAUAUCAGAUUAGGUUGUUGGUGAGGUAAAAGCUCACCAAGCCGACGAUCUGUAGCUGGUUUGAGAAGAACGACCAGCCACACUGGGACUGAGACACGGCCCAGACUCCUACGGGAGGCAGCAGUGGGGAAUUUUGGACAAUGGGCGAAAGCCUGAUCCAGCAAUGCCGCGUGCAGG
RNAcentral lists this ribosomal RNA (377 nucleotides) under uncultured bacterium. RNAcentral describes it as "bacterial SSU rRNA". It matches the Rfam family "Bacterial small subunit ribosomal RNA", at positions 30 to 407 of the family's 1533-position model. The record is from RNAcentral.